GGAAACUGGGGCUAAUACCGGAUAGGAGCUCCUGCUGCAUGGUGGGGGUUGGAAAGUUUCGGCGGUUGGGGAUGGACUCGCGGCUUAUCAGCUUGUUGGUGGGGUAGUGGCUUACCAAGGCUUUGACGGGUAGCCGGCCUGAGAGGGUGACCGGCCACAUUGGGACUGAGAUACGGCCCAG
This 181-nucleotide ribosomal RNA is filed under the name uncultured Actinomycetales bacterium. Its description in RNAcentral is "partial 16S ribosomal RNA". It matches the Rfam family "Bacterial small subunit ribosomal RNA", at positions 152 to 334 of the family's 1533-position model. The record is from RNAcentral. Lineage: Bacteria; Bacillati; Actinomycetota; Actinomycetes; Actinomycetales.